Molecule: non-coding RNA, 144 nt
Filed under: Eubacterium sp.
Lineage: Bacteria; Bacillati; Bacillota; Clostridia; Eubacteriales; Eubacteriaceae
Description: c-di-GMP sequence
Rfam family: c-di-GMP-I riboswitch aptamer (bases 1-94)
About the family: GEMM was predicted in a large-scale screen for bacterial structured RNA regulatory elements. Genes associated with GEMM are involved in a diverse array of functions, including chemotaxis regulation, signal transduction, secretion and chitin.
Source: RNAcentral
UUAAUAUUUUAGCAAAGCAGUUGAAAAGCUGUGACGCAAAGCCAAAGGGUCCUCACCUUUAUAGCAGUAUUUAUAUGGCAGCCUGGUAACACCAGCAGGAAUAUUAAUAUUGCUUAUGUUAAGGAAAGACAGCCGGUUGCACUG